This is a ribosomal RNA of Anaerofustis stercorihominis DSM 17244, 2861 nucleotides long. It matches the Rfam family "Bacterial large subunit ribosomal RNA". Lineage: Bacteria; Bacillati; Bacillota; Clostridia; Eubacteriales; Eubacteriaceae. The record is from Rfam.
GAUCAAGUUAUUAAGGGCAUAAGGUGAAUGCCUUGGCAUCCAGAGCCGAUGAAGGACGUGAUAAGCUGCGAUAAGCUGCGUUUAGUUGCAAAUGAACUUUGAAGCGCAGAUUUCCGAAUGGGGCAACCCACUAUGUGAAGACAUAGUACCACCAUGUGAAUAUAUAGCAUGGUAGGAGGGAACCCGGCGAACUGAACCAUCUAAGUAACCGGAGGAAGAGAAAGAAAAAUCGAUUCUCCUAGUAGCGGCGAGCGAACGGGGAACAGCCCGCGUAUUAAGAUAUAUAGUGUUUAGCAGAAGUGUAUGGGAAGGCACACCAAAGAAGGUUAUAGUCCUGUAAGCGAAAAGCAUUAUAUAGUUGAUACGCCUUGCGAGUACCACGGGACACGUGAAACCCUGUGGGAAUUUGGGAGGCCCACCUCCCAAGGCUAAAUACUACUGGAUGACCGAUAGAGAAUAGUACCGUGAGGGAAAGGUGAAAAGUACCCCGGGAGGGGAGUGAAAUAGAACCUGAAACCUUAUGCCUACAAGCAACCAGAGCGCAAGUGAUGGUGUGCUUUUUGUAGAACGAGCCAGCGAGUUACGGUGUGUAGCGAGGUUAAGCUGUUAAGCAGCGAAGCCGUAGGGAAACCGAGUCUGAAUAGGGCGAAAGUUGCAUGCUGUAGACCCGAAACCGUGUGAUCUACCCAUGUCCAGAGUGAAGCGAAGGUAAAACUUCGUGGAGGCUCGAACCGGUGUCUGUGAAAAAGGCUCGGAUGAGGUGUGGGUAGGGGAGAAAUUCCAAUCGAACACGGAGAUAGCUGGUUCUCCCCGAAAUAGCUUUAGGGCUAGCGUGUGACGAUGAAUAAUGGAGGUAGAGCACUGAAUUGGCUAGGGGGCGUCUUGCUUACUGAACCAUAUCAAACUCCGAAUGCCAUAUAUUUUAGUCAUGCAGUCAGACUGUGAAAGAUAAGUUCCAUGGUCGAAAGGGAAACAGCCCAGACCUUCAGCUAAGGUCCCAAAAUUCUGAUUAAGUGGGAAAGGAUGUAUAAUUGCUAAGACAGCCAGGACGUUGGCUUAGAAGCAGCCACUCAUUUAAAGAGUGCGUAAUAGCUCACUGGUCGAGUGAUUAUGCGCCGAAAAUAACCGGGGCUAAAAUCAGAUACCGAAGCUAAGGAUUAGUUUUACUAGUGGUAGGGGAGCAUUGUGUAAAGGGUGAAGCCGAAACGUAAGUAUCCGGUGGACGUUACACAAGAGAGAAUGCUGGCAUGAGUAGCGAGAGUAUAGUGAGAAUCUAUACCAUCGAAAACCUAAGGUUUCCCGGGCAAGGUUCGUCCCCCCGGGGUUAGUCGGGACCUAAGGCGAGGCCGAAAGGCGUAGUCGAUGGACAACUGGUUGAUAUUCCAGUACCGAAUAUGUUUGUUUGAGAGAUGGAGUGACACAGAAGGAUAAGUUAUCCCAGCUGUUGGAUAUGCUGGGUCAAGUAGUGAGGGUGUACGGUAGGCAAAUCCGCCGUGCAUAAGCCUGAGCUGUGAUGAGUACCGAAAUUUCAGUAGGGAAGUAACUGAUUUCACGCUGGCAAGAAAAGCUUCUAUCGAGAACAUGUUCGCCCGUACCGUAAACCGACACAGGUAGGUGAGGAGAGAAUCCUAAGAUGAGCGAGAGAAGUGUUGUUAAGGAACUCGGCAAAAUAACCCCGUAAGUUCGCGAGAAGGGGUCCCUGUGAGAGCAGGGCGCAGUGAAAAGGUCCAGGCGACUGUUUACCAAAAACACAGGUCUAUGCAAAAUCGAAAGAUGAAGUAUAUGGGCUGACGCCUGCCCGGUGCUGGAAGGUUAAGGGGAUCUGUUAGCGCAAGCGAAGCAGUGAACUUAAGCCCCAGUAAACGGCGGCCGUAACUAUAACGGUCCUAAGGUAGCGAAAUUCCUCGUCAGGUAAGUUCUGACCCGCACGAAAGGCGUAACGAUCUGGACACUGUCUCGACAACACACUCGGUGAAAUUGUAGUACCGGUAAAGAUGCCGGUUACCCGCGACCGGACGGAAAGACCCCGUAGAGCUUUACUAUAGCUUGGCACUGAAUUUCGGUAUUGUAUGUACAGGAUAGGUGGGAGACUUAGAAACUAGGACGCCAGUCUUGGUGGAGUCGUCCUUUGGAUACCACCCUUAUAAUGCUGGAAUUCUAACCUGAUACCGUAAUCCGGUAUAGGGACACUGUCAGGUGGGUAGUUUGACUGGGGCGGUCGCCUCCUAAAGAGUAGCGGAGGCGCCCAAAGGUUCCCUCAAAAUGGUUGGAAACCAUUUAUUAGAGUGUAAAGGCAGAAGGGAGCUUGACUGCGAGACAUACACGUCGAGCAGGUACGAAAGUAGGGCUUAGUGAUCCGGCGGUUCCGAGUGGAAGGGCCGUCGCUUAACGGAUAAAAGUUACCUCGGGGAUAACAGGCUUAUCUCCCCCAAGAGUCCACAUCGACGGGGAGGUUUGGCACCUCGAUGUCGGCUCGUCGCAUCCUGGAGCUGAAGCAGGUUCCAAGGGUUGGGCUGUUCGCCCAUUAAAGCGGCACGCGAGCUGGGUUCAGAACGUCGUGAGACAGUUCGGUCCCUAUCCGUCGUGGGCGUAGGAUACUUGAGAGGAGCUACCCCUAGUACGAGAGGACCGGGGCGGACUGACCUCUGGUGCACCGGUUGUCACGCCAGUGGCAUAGCCGGGUAGCUAAGUCGGGACGGGAUAAGCACUGAAGGCAUCUAAGUGCGAAGCCCCCCUCAAGAUUAGGUAUCCCUUUCUUUAUGAAGUAAGAGCCCUGAUAGACUAUCAGGUUGAUAGGUCGCAUGUGUAAGUGCAGUAAUGUACUCAGCUGAGCGAUACUAAUUGCUCGAGGACUUGAUCUA